AGAAAAAAGCCAAAAGCUGAAUGUGGGAACAAUCAUCACUGAGCGAAGAAGUUUGUUUGUGUAGUUCUUUCUUUCAGACGUGUGUGUGCGCGCGUUAGCGUUGUCAUCACAAUCCAUCGAUUGGUGUGGCAAAUCCAAACGGCGUCGUCGUCGGCGGAAGAUGUCUACGCAGCAGCAGCAAAUGCAGAACAGUGGCGGCGGCGGCGGCGGCAGCGGCAGCAUGGGUAUCCCAGCGAGCGAGGUUUUCUGGACUCUCGCCGAUAAAGCCGACAAAAAGUUCUCCAAAAUCAGAGACAUUCCUUUUUACCAGCGCAGCAGGCAUGAUACAUACUUUUACAAGGUGUUCAAGGUUUACACACAGCUAUGGAAGUUUCAGCAAGAGAAUCGGCAGAAGCUAGUUGAAGCUGGGCUUAGGAGAUGGGAAAUUGGUGAGAUUGCAUCUCGCAUUGGGCAACUGUAUUUUGGGCAGUACAUGCAAACAAGUGAUGCAAAUUAUCUGUCAGAGUCAUAUAUAUUCUAUGAGGCCAUAUUGACUCGGGAGUAUUUUAAGGAGGGAAUGUUUCAGGAUGUGAAUAUUGCAAACAAACAAUUGAGGUUUCUUGCUAGAUUCAUAAUGGUGUGUUUGGUUUUGAAUCGGAGGGAAAUGGUACAGCAAUUGGUUAAUCAGCUUAAAGUAUUAGUUGAUGAAUGCAAGAGAGCAUUCCAGGAAAGUGACUUUAAAGAAUGGAAGCUGGUGGUUCAAGAAAUAGUCAGAUUUUUAAAAGCUGACACUGCUUUUAUGAAUCUCAGGCCCUUAAGAUAUAGUCUAGUUUUGGACCCUCAUCCUGAUACCUUGCCACAUGUUCCUGCAGCCAUUACAAAGCGACAUUUGAAACUACGAGAUGCUGUAUUAAGUAGCUUCCAUCAAAAUGAGGUAAAGUAUUCAGAGCUCACGAUGGACACUUUUAGGAUGCUUCAAUGUCUGGAGUGGGAACCUAGUGGCUUAUUUUACCAGUCCAGUGGUUCAAAACUUGGUCAGAAUGGGGCUACUGGGACUAGUCGCAUUAGUUACAUCCAAGACAUUGCUGACCCUACUUUACCAGCAAAUCCACGGAAAGCUGUAUUAUACCGUCCUGCACUGACACAUUUUAUAGCUGUUCUUGCCACAAUAUGUGAGGAGCUUCCUUCUGAUGGUAUUCUCCUUGUGUAUUUGUCAGCUUCAGGAUAUUGUAGUUCUCCUCAGAAUGAAUCUGGUUGCAUACACCUUGGUUGUCAUGGAGAGAGAGGAUCAAACUGCAUAUAUCCUUCUGACUUUCUACCAUUUACUAGAAGACCACUUCUUUUAGUCAUUGAUAAUGACAACAGCAACGCGUUUAAGGUCAUAGCAGACGCAGAAAAGGGAGAGACAGUUGCAAUGCUCCUUUCACCAAGCUGUUCUCCUGCUGUGUCUGACUGCUCACAUCAUCCAAAUGGGAGCCUAUUCACCAUGUUUCUUACAGCUCCGCUGCAAGCUUUCUGUCUUCUGAUUGGACUUUCAGACACUGAUAUUGAUGUGGACACAUUCAACAAAGCUGAAACGAUACUCACAACUUCACUAAAUACCUGGGGGCUAGCAUUGGCAAUAUCAGACACACUUAAUCCUGUUUGGGGGCAGGUUUUAGGUGAUCCCUUCAUUAGGAGGCUUAUUUUGAGAUUCAUGUUUUGUCAUGAAGUGUUGACCCUAUAUGCACCAGUUUACAAAGAGAACAAAUUCCUUCCGACAUGUGUCCCUGCUCUUCCGAUGCCUGCCAUGCCUCCAACUUACUCGUAUGAGAGUGUAAUUCUGAAUAUAGCCAGCAUGUUUGGUGCAACUAAGCAUUUCAUCUUCUCAGAGGAUGUUUAUCAACCUGAAAAAUUAGAAGUCGACAUGAAUGAGUUGACUCUAUGAAGAUAAUUAAAAGCAUCAUCUCGGAGGCAUUAAAAUGUAUACAGAUUGUUUGUAUAGCAACUAAAAACAUGAAUUCUGUCAAUAUUUUUACUUUUCUGGUUGUGCCUUUGACAAGAGAAUGUCUAACGUGGAUUCAAGCUCAUGUUCAUUACAUGGCAAGUUGCAUACUCCUGAAGAAUGGAAUUGAACAAAGGAAGAAAGUUUGAUAUAGGGAUCGGUAUUGUUGUGAAGAAACCUUGUAUUUUUUUUUUCACUACAACCAAUGUCAUGAUGCUUUAAUGUUUUUCUACUCAAAUUCUUCGUUAAUGUUUUUCUACUCAAAUUCUUCUUUAAUGUUUUUCUCAAUGAAUAGAGAAUGUUUGCGUUGGUAUCA
Molecule: RNA transcript, 2279 nt
Organism: Vigna unguiculata (cowpea)
Lineage: Eukaryota; Viridiplantae; Streptophyta; Magnoliopsida; Fabales; Fabaceae
Gene name: signal transducer, putative (DUF3550/UPF0682)
Source: RefSeq, a predicted model, not a curated record